UACAGAGGGUGCAAGCGUUGUUCGGAAUUAUUGGGCGUAAAGCGCGUGUAGGCGGCUUUGCAAGUCGGGUGUGAAAGCCCUCAGCUCAACUGAGGAAGUGCGCCCGAAACUGCAGAGCUUGAGUAUCGGAGAGGAUGGCGGAAUUCCCCAAGUAGAGGUGAAAUUCGUAGAUAUGGGGAGGAACACCGGUGGCGAAGGCGGCCAUCUGGACGGAUACUGACGCUGAGACGCGAAAGCGUGGGGAGCAAACAGG
Molecule: ribosomal RNA, 253 nt
Filed under: uncultured bacterium
Lineage: Bacteria
Description: partial 16S ribosomal RNA
Rfam family: Bacterial small subunit ribosomal RNA
Source: RNAcentral